Molecule: long non-coding RNA, 785 nt
Filed under: Zea mays
Lineage: Eukaryota; Viridiplantae; Streptophyta; Magnoliopsida; Poales; Poaceae
Description: long non-coding RNA (ZMAY_LNC004215)
Source: RNAcentral
AUGCAUCAGCUAGCUUCAAAAUAUGACAUUAAUUUGGGCUGUCAUCUUUCGCCAAACCACUUCAAAUGUCGACGAUCGAUGACUUCAUGAGUAUUCUGUGGUUGGACACACAUAUGGACCGUAGAGAUUGGAGGUUGCAAGCGUAUGUACAAUCCUGACAGAUGUACUUAAGUAUAGGACAGCUAAAAUACAAUAAGCAAUUAGAGCAUCCAAUAAAUUAAAUUGAUCAAUCAACUAGUUCUCUGUCUCUCUAGAAUAAAGUCAAGACAUAGUGUCUUCGUUAAGAGACGUGUCUUGAGUUUUUUUAUAUUUACCUUAUUAGACAUAUUCGAAGAUAUAACUAAAGAUAUCCAUUGUAUAUGUCAUAAGUAGAUAUUGAUGAUUUAAUGAGAGUCUGUCCCCAAUGCGUAAAGCGUUCACACUAAGCCUUGGUUAUAUAUCCAACAGGCAAAGUAUAAGUAUGUGAUAUACCAUACACAGGCAAACACAUAAUCGACGGAAUGGAAUGGAUAUUAUCCUUCUUUUGACGCCUUUCGCAAGUGAUGGCUUGAUGAGUAUUAUUUUGCUAUUAAUUAAUCACUAAAGCCUUGUUCGGUUGUUUAGGGAUCAGAGAAUACUGAUGAUAUUAAAUCUCUUCCAAUUUAAUUUUAACUAACAAAUGGUUUAACCUCCUUCAAUCUUUUAAUCUACUCCUAAUCGAACAAUCACUAACGAGGAUUCGCAAAGCUUGCAUUCACGUUAAUUAGUUUCUGCCAAACUCACAUCACACACCAUGGACAUUGUCC